ACGAUGUUCCGCUGCAAUGAUGCGAAAGCAUUGAUAAGAGCAUCUG
This is a regulatory RNA element of 46 nucleotides. It matches the Rfam family "Ribosomal protein L19 leader". From Rfam's summary of the family: This family is a putative r-protein leader autoregulatory structure found in B. subtilis and other low-GC Gram-positive bacteria. It is located in the 5' untranslated regions of mRNAs encoding ribosomal protein L19 (rplS). The record is from Rfam.